GACGAACGCCUGGCGGCAGGGCUUAACACAUGCAAGUUCGCACGAGAACGCCCGGGCCUUGCCCGGGGCCAAGUACAGUGGCGGAACGGGGCGUAUCGCGUAGAUAACCUACCCUCAGAGGCGCGGGACAAUCCGCGGGAAACCGCGGCUAAUACCGCACGUCGUCCGGCCCCCGCAUGGGGGCGAGAUGAAAGCUCGGGUUCGCCCGGGCGCCUUCGGAUGGGUCUGCGUUGGAUUAGCUUGUUGGUGAGGCAACGGCUCACCAAGGCAACGAUCCAUAGCUGGUCUGAGAGGACGAUCAGUCACACUGGGACUGAGACACGGCCCAGACUCCUACGGGAGGCAGCAGUGGGGAAUCUUGCACAAUGGGGUCACCCCUGAUGCAGCCAUGCCGCGUGGAGGAAGACACCCCUAUGGGGCGUAAACUCCUUUUCUGAACGAAGAAACCCCUGUAGGUUCAGGGCGCGACGGUAGUUCAGGAAUAAGCACCGGCUAACUCCGUGCCAGCAGCCGCGGUAAUACGGAGGGUGCAAGCGUUGUCCGGAAUCACUGGGUGUAAAGGGUGCGCAGGCGGGGCAGCAAGUCGGAUGUGAAACCCCAUGGCUCAACCAUGGAGGUGCAUUCGAAACUGUUGCUCUUGAGUCCCGGAGAGGUUGCCGGAAUUCGUGGUGUAGCGGUGAAAUGCGUAGAUAUCACGAGGAACACCAGAGGCGAAAGCGGGCAACUGGACGGGUACUGACGCUCAGGCACGAAAGCGUGGGGAGCAAACAGGAUUAGAUACCCUGGUAGUCCACGCCGUAAACGAUGAACGUUCGCCGUUAUCCCGCCUGAGGGAUAGUGGCUAAGCUAACGCGUUAAGCGUUCCACCUGGGGAGUACGAUCGCAAGGUUGAAACUCAAAGGAAUUGACGGGGGCCCGCACAAGCGGUGGAGCAUGUGGCUCAAUUCGAUGCAACGCGAAGAACCUUACCUAGGCUCGAACGCUAGAGGACCGCUCUUGAAAGGGAGCUUCCCCUUUGGGGCCUGUAGCGAGGUACUGCAUGGCUGUCGUCAGCUCGUGUCGUGAGAUGUUGGGUUAAGUCCCGCAACGAGCGUAACCCUUGUCGUUAGUUACCAGCGGGUAGUGCCGGGGACUCUAGCGAGACCGCCUGCGCAAGCAGUGAGGAAGGUGGGGAUGACGUCAAGUCAUCAUGGUCCUUACGCCUAGGGCUGCACACGUGCUACAAUGGUCGGGACAACGAGCAGCCACCUCGCGAGAGGGAGCGAAUCUCUCAAACCCGAUCGUAGUUCGGAUUGGAGUCUGCAACUCGACUCCAUGAAGCAGGAAUCGCUAGUAAUCGCGGAUCAGCGAUGCCGCGGUGAAUUCGUUCCCGGGCUUUGUACGACACCGCCCGUCAAGCCUUGGAAGCUAAGAGCGCCCGAAGUCCGUGACUCGGCUCUAGCGUAAGCUAGAGGGAGAGCGGCCGAAGGUGAGCUUAGUGACUGGGGCU
RNAcentral lists this ribosomal RNA (1489 nucleotides) under uncultured bacterium. RNAcentral describes it as "bacterial SSU rRNA". It matches the Rfam family "Bacterial small subunit ribosomal RNA". The record is from RNAcentral.